This 1140-nucleotide unclassified non-coding RNA is filed under the name Hevea brasiliensis (rubber tree). The record is from RNAcentral. Lineage: Eukaryota; Viridiplantae; Streptophyta; Magnoliopsida; Malpighiales; Euphorbiaceae.
GGCGGAGGCUAGGGUUUUGCAGUGCACUGACCACCAUACUUACCAAGUCGCACUAUAAAAGUGCCUUCUAGUGCUGUAUCGUUGGAUCUGAAUUCUGAGCGACUAAGCCUUUGCUCACCCGUCGUAAGUGCUGGGGUAUUUGUUGAACACAAUCUUAAAAAGUGCAAAUUCCUUUCAAGAUGAGCCGACCAAUGGAGGAAGAGGUUAGCAAGAACGAGGAGGAGGAGUUUAACACUGGACCCCUUUCAGUACUUAUGAUGAGUGUCAAAAAUAACACACAGGUGCUCAUUAAUUGUCGGAACAACAAAAAAACUUCUUGGUCGCGUUAGAGCCUUUGAUCGGCAUUGCAACAUGGUUCUUGAAAAUGUCAGGGAGAUGUGGACUGAGGUACCUAAGACAGGGAAAGGCAAGAAAAAGGCCAUGCCAGUGAACAAGGACAGAUUCAUUAGUAAGAUGUUUCUGCGUGGAGACUCUGUAAUCAUUGUUCUUAGGAAUCCCAAGUGAUGGAGAGCUGCUUUUGAAAUCAAUGGAUCUUGUGGCUGGGUCAAGUAUAUUACUGUAUCUGGAAUGGGUAUUGGCUGCUAUUAUCGGCACAUUAAAACCUGAUUUAUGCAGCCUUUCAGACUCCACAUCAGAAUUUCAUAUUAGCUGUAAAACCAAAUUGAGUUGCUCCUUGUGUAGGAAGUGUAGCUAACUUUUAGCCUCUUAAUGAUACGGCCCCUUGUUAAGUUGCGAUUCCAUUGUUAAUGACAUUGUACCUGUUCAUUUACUUGUCCCUAUCGAAGUGUCCAGUGAAUCUAUUUUAAUCCAGUAGGCUUUGAUGUGUAGGACGGACCCAAGGUAUAUUUAGAUCCAAUAAAUAAAUGUUAAGCCUGACAGAAGUCUUCUUCUCCGCCUGAUAUUUUAGUAGAAGGAUGUGCUUGCUGCCGUUUCAAGCGCUGCUAGCAAGAUGUCUUGGGAUCUCUUUUGUUUUCUAUCAUCAAAGGUGCUUCUUAUAUCUAUGUUGUGAUCAUGUUAAAAGUCAUACAAACGCAUAUGGAAGGGUCGGAGCAAAUCUCCACUAUAGCCAAGUAAUCUCUCCCAUGGAAGAUUUAGAGAGUUUUAAAAAGCCUUAGAUUUUUGUUGAUUUGGAGCUCGAUU